UACGUAGAGGGCAAGCGUUAUCCGGAUUUACUGGGUGUAAAGGGAGCGUAGACGGCAGAGCAAGUCUGAAGUGAAAGCCCGCGGCCCAACUGCGGGACUGCUUUGGAAACUGCCCGGCUAGAGUGCUGGAGAGGUAAGCGGAAUUCCUAGUGUAGCGGUGAAAUGCGUAGAUAUUAGGAGGAACACCAGUGGCGAAGGCGGCUUACUGGACAGUAACUGACGUUGAGGCUCGAAAGCGUGGGGAGCAAACAGG
This 253-nucleotide ribosomal RNA is filed under the name uncultured bacterium. Its description in RNAcentral is "partial 16S ribosomal RNA". It matches the Rfam family "Bacterial small subunit ribosomal RNA", at positions 524 to 776 of the family's 1533-position model. The record is from RNAcentral.